UACAGAGGGGGCAAGCGUUGUUCGGAAUUACUGGGCGUAAAGGGCGCGUAGGCGGCCUGCUAAGUCGAACGUGAAAUCCCUGGGCUCAACCCAGGAACUGCGUCCGAUACUGGUUGGCUUGAAUCCGGGAGAGGGACGUGGAAUUCCAGGUGUAGCGGUGAAAUGCGUAGAUAUCUGGAGGAACACCGGUGGCGAAGGCGACGUCCUGGACCGGCAUUGACGCUGAGACGCGAAAGCGUGGGGAGCAAACAGG
This 253-nucleotide ribosomal RNA is filed under the name uncultured bacterium. Its description in RNAcentral is "partial 16S ribosomal RNA". It matches the Rfam family "Bacterial small subunit ribosomal RNA", at positions 524 to 776 of the family's 1533-position model. The record is from RNAcentral.